AGGCGAGAGAAAGAGAGCGAGGAAAAAUGGAAGGGGCGAGAAGAAAAUAGCUAUUUCUUUCUCGCCCUUCCCAUUUUUCCUCGCUCUCUUUCUCUCGCCUUCCCAUC
Molecule: non-coding RNA, 107 nt
Organism: Paramuricea clavata
Lineage: Eukaryota; Metazoa; Cnidaria; Anthozoa; Malacalcyonacea; Plexauridae
Source: the annotation of a GenBank genome assembly